RNAcentral lists this long non-coding RNA (663 nucleotides) under Zonotrichia albicollis (white-throated sparrow). Its description in RNAcentral is "lncRNA (ENSZALG00000002751.1)". Lineage: Eukaryota; Metazoa; Chordata; Aves; Passeriformes; Passerellidae. The record is from RNAcentral.
UAAUUUUCCCACCUAAAUAAUUCUGAUUUUCUCACCUAAAUAAUUCUAAUUUUCACACCUAAAGAAUUCUAAUUUUCCCACCUAAAUAAUUCCGAUUUUCACACCUAAAUCAUUCUAAUUUUCACACCUAAAUAAUUCUAAUUUUCACACCUGAAUAAUUCUGGGAAACCCUAUUUGGUUUCCCACCUGAAUAAUUCUAACUUUCCCACCUAAAGAAUUCUAAUUUUCCCACCUAAAUCAUUCUAAUUUUCCCACCUCAAUAAUUCCUGACCCACAGCAAACCCUGUGUAAGAAAUUUCAGCCUUCUCUCUCUACUGGCACGAAGUAAUAAAUAUGAAUUUAUAAUUUUUGAGGGAAAUUGUUGAGCUUUGACAUCUGCUGCAGAUGUCCCUGGCNUGGGUGGGAUUUUGAUGUGGGAUUUUGGGGAGGGGUUUUCUGUCACUUUUAUCACCUAAAAAUGAUAAAAUUUUGUGUUUUUCUGACCAAAAUCAAUCUGUGAGCUGCAGUUUUUGAGGUAAAUCCCAGAAAUUUUCUGUGAGGAAAUUUUGGGAUUUUUUGAGCCUUUCUGAGCCCAGCUCAGCUCUGAAUUCAAUCUCACUUUUAUCACCUAAAAAUGAGAAAAUUUUGUAUUUAUUUGACCAAAAUCAAUCUGUGAGCUGCAAG